UAACAAGGUUUCCGUAGGUGAACCUGCGGAAGGAUCAUUACCACACCUAAAAACUUUCCACGUGGACCGUUUCACAAAUGAAUUGGAGGCGAUCUCGGUGGCGGCUGCUGGUCUUUUGAUUGGCUGGCUGCUACUUUGUGAGCCUCAUCAUGUCGAACAAUUGGACUUCGGUCUGAUGUAGUAGUAUUCUUUUAAACCAUUACUUCAUUACUGAUUAUACUGUGGGGACGAAAGUCUCUACUUUUAUCUAGAUACAACUUUCAGCAGUGGAUGUCUAGGCUCGCACAUCGAUGAAGAACGCUGCGAA
Molecule: unclassified non-coding RNA, 307 nt
Filed under: uncultured fungus
Lineage: Eukaryota; Fungi
Description: partial contains 18S rRNA, ITS1, 5.8S rRNA
Rfam family: 5.8S ribosomal RNA (bases 256-307)
Source: RNAcentral